Colius striatus (speckled mousebird) is the source of this 483-nucleotide long non-coding RNA. RefSeq lists it as uncharacterized. NCBI's taxonomy places the organism in Eukaryota, Metazoa, Chordata, Aves, Coliiformes, Coliidae. The transcript is spliced from 3 exons. The record is from RefSeq and is a predicted model, not a curated record.
CUUAAAGAACCACUUGUUAUUUCGUGUAAUGGGGACAGAAGCCUUCGAGGCACUCUGGAACAUGAAGGUUCUCUGGACCACAAAAAGAUCCAAGGUGCAGUGUACCCAGAAGAUGGUACUGUCUUUAGAUGGUGCUGACAUAUUACAAGGACUCAUUCCAGUCUGAACUGAUGCAGGAUGACUGUCUCAAGAAUGGGAGAGAUGAAGCUCUUCAGGAGGAGUGCAAGAGCAGACAGGACCUGGUGGAUGAGCUCUGUGCUGGCUGAAUACAUCCCGGGAAGAAACCUACUGUGACAAUUUCAAGUGGUAUUCAUUUCAGACUGUUGGUGAGUUGCUCACCAGACAGAGAUUAUGUGGGUUUCUUACAGAGGAGGAAGUGUUUUUGUGAUGCACAACCCACUUGGAGCACAAAUUUCAUCUAUAAAGCCACAGAGCAAGUGUUCAUUCUUUUUUUUCUCUUUCCCUCUUUUGGCAGAAACAGUU